RNAcentral lists this transfer RNA (77 nucleotides) under Limisphaerales bacterium. RNAcentral's name for it is "tRNA-Pro". It matches the Rfam family "tRNA". From Rfam's summary of the family: Transfer RNA (tRNA) molecules are approximately 80 nucleotides in length. Their secondary structure includes four short double-helical elements and three loops (D, anti-codon, and T loops). Lineage: Bacteria; Pseudomonadati; Verrucomicrobiota; Verrucomicrobiia; Limisphaerales. RNAcentral also lists the same sequence under 1 other name. The record is from RNAcentral.
CGGAGCGUGGCUCAGCCCGGUAGAGCGCUUGGUUUGGGGCCAAGAUGUCGCAGGUUCAAAUCCUGUCGCUCCGACCA